RNAcentral lists this long non-coding RNA (1436 nucleotides) under Linum usitatissimum (flax). RNAcentral's name for it is "long non-coding RNA (LUSI_LNC003322)". The record is from RNAcentral. Lineage: Eukaryota; Viridiplantae; Streptophyta; Magnoliopsida; Malpighiales; Linaceae.
UAACAUCUUCUUGAUUAAUGGUAAAAGGGUCAUCUUUGAUGUAGUAAAAUGACUUGCUUUCAAAAUUAUAAGUUUUCAAUGUUCAUAGGUUAAAACAAUCGAACAUGGAUCUAAUUUGAUAUAAUCUGAUAUUAUCAAACUCAAUCGAUUCUAAAACACGUAUCUUCAAAGGCGUUGUUGCCUUCAAGAGAAUCAAAAGCCAUGAUCCUUUUCGAUUUACAACGAGACUCACCACCGAACCAACAACAUAUCAGUAAUAAGUCAUCUACCUCUCAACCUUUCUUUUAUUUUCAAAUUCAUUCUUCCUUUCUGUAUCCUCAUCCAUCUUUUUUGAUUUAAAACCAUCUCCUCUCAACAAAAUCUUCUCAUGCCACCCCAAUUUUAAGUACCUACAUCAAGUAUUUAACUUAACCAUUAGAUCAUGAACUAAUUUUUUCAGGACACCAACACAACAUGCAAAAAGUCACGUCAAUAAAAUCAUGUUCCUAAUCAAAAUUUCGAACCAAAGAUAACUACAACAAAAUUGUAUUAAACGAGCAAUCAAACAAAAUUGUAAUAAAAAGAACUACACAAAAUAAUCUUGAUUUCGCCGAAAAAUCAAAAACCAUUACAUAAAAAAACCAACCUAUUCAAACCACCAAUUAAAUAAGAACAAAUUCAAGAUAAUUAAAUCAUAUAAAUUUUUCAAAUUUGGAACUAAAUAUACCUACAACGAGCAAGAUAAAAUUUUUGUAAGAAACAAGCUAAAAACAAUCUCUGCAACAGAUAGAACAAAAAGGAAGAAAAUAGAUAUUGAAGGUAAUACAUAUAUUAUUUGAACAAAAAAUCAUUCCAAACGAUUGUAAUUGAGAAUUUCAAUGGGAAUCAACCAAGAAAUAAUUGUGCUGAACAAUUAUUAACUUAAACUAACCUCCAUUCUUGAAUCGGAAUAAUGCAUGUUGGUUUGGCCAACACGAUCUGGUACAUUCUUGCAUCGAGGAUCAGUUACAUCCUCCGAUAUUUUUGACAGAGGUGGUUGUUUGGAUGAUAAACUUCGUGUUAUUCGGGGAGGAAUUGUCAAUCGUGGCGGCAUUAGUGAAGACAAAUACUAAUUUGGGAAAACAGAGAUGAGCGCCGGUUCAAAUAAAAAUAAAUAAAAACCCAUCUGGAAAAAACAGAGGUCGACUAUUUAUCAAUUCCUCUGCUAUAGUCGUCCUAGGCAAGGUGCAGUCUCUCAGAUCGAACAACUAGUAUCUGACGUCAACGGUUUUCACCGAAGAAGAAGAAAACGGCGAGGGGUUUGAAAUCUAAAAUCAGAAAGGAAAAAAAGGAAGGAAACAAGCUCGUUGGCGAUUAAUUUGUCGAAAAAAAGGAAUCAAAACGCGUCCGACGACAGACGAAAUAGAGGAAGACAAGGGGGCUCAGUACGACGAUGACGGUUUUGAAAAUGGGGUUAU